GGAGAUGGGUGGAGAUUCAUCUAGGUUGCUAGAGCUCUGCAGCUGCUGAGCUGCCCCCAUGCAAACGCGCCGUCUGCUCAGCAGGGCUCCUUUUCAAAGACGCCACCAACCUGAAUGAGCGAUGGAGACGGACGAGGAGGAAGUGCAACGACAGACGGAGUGACAGGAGCCUGCAAGAUGCAGUGAUUCAUCAUACUGGAAUCCUCAGCAUGACCUCAUCACUCCUCACCAUGACCUCAUCAUGACAUCAUCAGCGCGUCUCUCUGUGUACCUGAGG
Gambusia affinis (western mosquitofish) is the source of this 277-nucleotide long non-coding RNA. RefSeq lists it as uncharacterized. Lineage: Eukaryota; Metazoa; Chordata; Actinopteri; Cyprinodontiformes; Poeciliidae. The record is from RefSeq and is a predicted model, not a curated record. The transcript has 3 exons.